AAGCCGGCGUCUAUGCUAAAUUCCGGAUCAUCGACUCUAAGAUUUUUUAAAAUGUUCUAACGUUGUGUUUUUAAUCAAAAUGGUAUGAGUCGCAAUUUUCGCAAUUCACCGUCAACGUUUUCCAUUUUAUUCCGCCCACUUUGCCACUCGAAUCUACCAAGCAUGCACGCCACGUCAUCAUUAGUCCUAAUCAUUACUGAAUAAAUUAAAAAUAAAAAAGAAAAAAUAUUUUCUCCUCCUCCACCCUCUCUCCCUUUCUUUCUUCCUCUCUCCCCCUUCAUCUCUCUCUUCUCAAACUAAAAAUACAG
Molecule: long non-coding RNA, 308 nt
Filed under: Linum usitatissimum (flax)
Lineage: Eukaryota; Viridiplantae; Streptophyta; Magnoliopsida; Malpighiales; Linaceae
Description: long non-coding RNA (LUSI_LNC005764)
Source: RNAcentral